RNAcentral lists this ribosomal RNA (324 nucleotides) under uncultured eukaryote. RNAcentral describes it as "partial 18S ribosomal RNA". It matches the Rfam family "Eukaryotic small subunit ribosomal RNA", at positions 1470 to 1796 of the family's 1831-position model. The record is from RNAcentral.
CCCUUAGAUGUCCUGGGCUGCACGCGCGCUACACUGAUGUGUACAGUAAGCACCUAACCUCUUCCGAAAGGAACGGGUAACCUUUGCAAAGCACAUCGUGAUGGGGAUAGAUUAUUGCAAUUAUUAGUCUUGAACGAGGAAUUCCUAGUAAGCACAAGUCAUCAGCUUGUGUUGAUUACGUCCCUGCCCUUUGUACACACCGCCCGUCGCUCCUACCGAUUGAAUGUUCCGGUGAGCUCUUCGGACUGCGCGGUCUGCAGUUUCUGCGUUCCGUGCGGAAAGUUGCGCAAACCUUAACAUUUAGAGGAAGGAGAAGUCGUAACA